Carassius gibelio (silver crucian carp) is the source of this 282-nucleotide long non-coding RNA. RefSeq lists it as uncharacterized. The record is from RefSeq and is a predicted model, not a curated record. Lineage: Eukaryota; Metazoa; Chordata; Actinopteri; Cypriniformes; Cyprinidae. The transcript has 3 exons.
CUUUCAUUCAACCAUCAGAUGCUCUCAUAUUUUCAUUCGUUUUAUAAAACCACAUUCAGCAGAAUUUGGAACUAAUAUAUUGUGGACUUCAGUUAAGAUGGAGGAGAGGCAGAUGAUACUCAUAAUGAUCAUCACAGUUUCAGGCAUUUAUGCUGAUAGAAUUGGACCAAGAGAAGGAGACACUAAUAUAAUCAGAGAAGAAGGAGAGUCUGUGACACUGAGCUGCACAUAUGAAACAACCAGCAAUAAUAUUUGGCUCUACUGGUACAGACAAUAUCCAAA